Molecule: non-coding RNA, 1652 nt
Organism: Parasteatoda tepidariorum (common house spider)
Lineage: Eukaryota; Metazoa; Arthropoda; Arachnida; Araneae; Theridiidae
Source: RefSeq, a predicted model, not a curated record
AAUAAGCAGCUAAAAGCUUUGAAGAAAUUGAACUUUUUUUUUUUUAAAUUAAAAAUAGUGAAUCGGUGACUAUAUUCUUGUUCUAUUUUAUCUUUAAUUUCUAAAAAUCUUCUGUUAAGUUAGUAGAUUAUGUAGUUAUUCUAGCCAUUGAUAACCAUGAAUAAAAUUGCUUCCACAUAUAUUAUUAUUUGUUGUAUAAGAAUUCUUUUUUACUAUCUGCAUAUCUUUUUUAUUUUCUGUAAUUGCUUUCCCAGAGAGAAUUAUGAAAUUUAUCUCUUGAGUUUGAUGGGUGGUAGACUGUAUAUAUAUAUAUACUUUUCUUUUUAAAUAUAGUAACUGCAAAUUACUUUGGAAUUGUAGUCACUACUUUAAGGAGACUAACUGUGCUAGAGAGCUUAAUUUACAACCCAUUCACAAAAUGGUUUUAAAUAAGAAAUUUGCUUUAUUAAAUAUAAGGGAAUAAAUAAAUAUUUACCCAUGUUUACAUGAGCAAGUUUAUUUCAUAAAAUUUUUUUCGAAUUUGUUCAUUUAACCUUCAACUUUUUAUGCAUUUUUCGACAACAAAUAUUUAAUUUGAGAAAUAUGAAAUAAUCAAAUACUCACAAUUUUUGAACUAUGUAAUGCUCCUUUAUUUCCUCUAAAAAAUUGAGAACAGCAUAAAUCGCUCAUGGGCUGCAAUAGUGGCAAAACUCAAGGACUAUGAUGGUUUUGGACUAAGAACUGGUGUAAAAAUGAAAAUACACAUUCUUUUCGGCAGCAAUACUAGCACAACUCAUAAUUCAACUUGAAGGAUAAUCUUCGUUUAAGCAAACUAAAGCAUUUCUUAUGCAUUUUCCUUAGCAAUGAAAACUUUAAAUCCACUUAUCUCAAGACAUGAUUUUUUGAGUUGUGCCUCUCUUACAGCCCAUGGGAGAAAUAUGUUUCUUCCAUAAGUUAAAACACCUUCCUUUGCUUUGAAAUAACAUCUAUUUUUCACGAGUGUGCAUUCGCAUGUGAAAGUGUGACCUAAGUGAUUAAAUAUCUAUUUUUCGUAAUGGCUAAUUUAAAUAUUAGUUAUAUAUGAUUUUAACUACGUAAUUUCUGUUAACAGUUUAGAUGCAGCUAUGAGAUCACUUUCAUUGCAUUCAUUGACAGACCCGCAUAGAUUUGUACCAAUCAAAUUUGAAAAAUUAGUUGCGUUCAAAGCUUGUUUAUUUAUUUAUUUAUUUUUUUUUUUUGUAUGGCACACCUCACUACACUACUUUUUUUUAAAAAAAGUAGCAUACUACUCUAUGAAAAAAAGUAACCACUAAAGUAAUUUGAUUACUUGUAGUGCGCUUUUUCCGACCACUGUCUAUAUGUAUAUAUAAAUUACAGUAGUGGAUCAACUUGAGGGAUAUUUGUUUCAGUAGAAAGAAGAGAAGGGCUUGCCUUUCUUACAUUAAUUCAAGAGAAUGGGAAGGAACUGGUUCACAAUAAGGCUUAUUGCGCGUAACAAAAGUUAAACAUUGGAGGAUUUAAAAUUAUAUCUGAAGGACUAUUUAAUAGUAAAAAAAAGAGAGAAAACUUAAAUUGAGAACUGAUUGGUGCAGUGUAAUUGCAUCAACUACUCCAGACACAGUGAAAAUAAACUCUUUAAGAUGGCUUAACAUUAACACCUUUAAGUAAGGGCU